Molecule: transfer RNA, 69 nt
Filed under: Marmota monax (woodchuck)
Lineage: Eukaryota; Metazoa; Chordata; Mammalia; Rodentia; Sciuridae
Description: tRNA.Ala
Rfam family: tRNA (bases 5-66)
About the family: Transfer RNA (tRNA) molecules are approximately 80 nucleotides in length. Their secondary structure includes four short double-helical elements and three loops (D, anti-codon, and T loops). Further hydrogen bonds mediate the characteristic L-shaped molecular structure. tRNAs have two regions of fundamental functional importance: the anti-codon, which is responsible for specific mRNA codon recognition, and the 3' end, to which the tRNAs corresponding amino acid is attached (by aminoacyl-tRNA synthetases). tRNAs cope with the degeneracy of the genetic code in two manners: having more than one tRNA (with a specific anti-codon) for a particular amino acid; and 'wobble' base-pairing, i.e. permitting non-standard base-pairing at the 3rd anti-codon position.
Source: RNAcentral
GGACUGUGGCUCAGUGGGCAGAGCACUUGCCUAGCAUGCAUGAGUCACUGAGUUCGAUCCCCGGCACCA